Molecule: long non-coding RNA, 557 nt
Filed under: Homo sapiens (human)
Lineage: Eukaryota; Metazoa; Chordata; Mammalia; Primates; Hominidae
Description: non-protein coding lnc-FAM187B-7:1
Source: RNAcentral
UGGCCUGGAGACCCCCAAAGGGAAAGUGUCCCCUGCGCUGCUCCUGCUCUAAAGACAGCGCCCUGUGUGAGGGCUCCCCGGACCUGCCCGUCAGCUUCUCUCCGACCCUGCUGUCACUCUCACUCGUCAGGACGGGAGUCACCCAGCUGAAGGCCGGCAGCUUCCUGAGAAUUCCGUCUCUGCACCUGCUCCUCUUCACCUCCAACUCCUUCUCCGUGAUUGAGGACGAUGCAUUUGCGGGCCUGUCCCACCUGCAGUACCUAUCUACAAAGGGCCCGGAUAACCAGAGCCUGAUUCUGGCUCUCCCUGACUCAUAGAAACCCAGGAAGGGUGUACAGAAGUCAGAGACAAGAAACGUUUCAAAUGACCAGGAAACAACUCUGAAUUAGCUUCAUCGAGGACAAUGAGAUUGGCUCCAUCUCUAAGAAUGCCCUCAGAGGACUUCGCUCGCUUACACACCUAAGCCUGGCCAAUAACCAUCUGGAGACCCUCCCCAGAUUCCUGUUCCGAGGCCUGGACACCCUUACUCAUGUGGACCUCCGCGGGAACCCGUUCCA